UACAGAGGGUGCGAGCGUUGUCCGGAAUCACUGGGCGUAAAGGGCGCGUAGGUGGCGACCCAAGUCAAUGGUGAAAGCUCGCCGCUUAACGGCGAGUCGGCCACUGAUACUGGGUUGCUGGAGCACUGUAGAGGCAGAUGGAAUUCCGGGUGUAGCGGUGGAAUGCGUAGAGAUCCGGAAGAACACCGGUGGCGAAGGCGGUCUGCUGGGCAGUUGCUGACACUGAGGCGCGACAGCGUGGGGAGCAAACAGGAUUAGAUACCCCAGUAGUCC
Molecule: ribosomal RNA, 273 nt
Filed under: uncultured bacterium
Lineage: Bacteria
Description: partial 16S ribosomal RNA
Rfam family: Bacterial small subunit ribosomal RNA
Source: RNAcentral